RNAcentral lists this transfer RNA (91 nucleotides) under Mycobacterium timonense. RNAcentral's name for it is "tRNA-Tyr". The record is from RNAcentral. Lineage: Bacteria; Bacillati; Actinomycetota; Actinomycetes; Mycobacteriales; Mycobacteriaceae.
CCUGCGUCGACCGGCAGUCGUAGUGGUUGUAGUCCUCGAUCUCCUUGAGCACCGAGGAGGCCUCGUCGGUGCGGCCUUCGGCGCGCAGGUC